Molecule: long non-coding RNA, 586 nt
Filed under: Felis catus (domestic cat)
Lineage: Eukaryota; Metazoa; Chordata; Mammalia; Carnivora; Felidae
Description: lncRNA (ENSFCAG00000051173.1)
Source: RNAcentral
UUAAGUGUAUCCUGUGUUGAAGUAAAUAACUCGUUUUAGGGCGAUCUUAACAGAAACUUUAAAAAUGUAGAAUUGUGCCUAUUUUAGAAACUCUGUUCUCCGGGCAGUUUUGCAGAACUGAAUUCCCCCACAUUAUAAUAUGUAAUUUCUCUUUAGGAUGCAACUAACCAUUGUAUAAACUUGAGAUUAUUAACAAAUCCGACUGGGGACAAGAUUAUCACAAAGUAUCUGACUGUAACAAAUCUAAACCAACAAGGUGAAGAUUGAAUAGCAUCAUGAAAUAGUUCCAGAACUGUUGGAAUGCCAGAAAAGAAGACUGAAAUUGGCUACAUCUUUUCCCAGGUGCUAGAGAACAGAUAAACAGAAAAUACUGUUGCAUCAACCAAGAAGUAUCUACUGAAUGCUUCCUUCAUGGAGUGAAAUAAUCAUUUCCUAUCCCAGGUCAUGCUUAGCUAUAGAGGACAUCUAGAUAUGAAGUUUGAAAGAAGAACGAGCUGGUGUACCCAGAAUACAUAAUAGAAGACAAGGAGCCACCAUAAAGAUACAAAUGAAGUUAAAGAAUAAAGAGUGUGAAUGGAAGCAACAC